CAAUAGCGUAUAUUUAAGUUGUUGCAGUUAAAAAGCUCGUAGUUGGAUUUCGGUUAAGAGCGACCGGUCCGCCGUUUGGUGUGCACUGGUUGGUUUUAACUUCCUGUAGAGGACGUGCUCUGGGUUUAACGACCUGGACUCGGAGUCUACGUGGUUACUUUGAAAAAAUUAGAGUGUUCAAAGCGGGCUUACGCUUGAAUAUUUCAGCAUGGAAUAACACUAUAGGACUCCUGUCCUAUUUCGUUGGUCUCGGGACAGGAGUAAUGAUUAAGAGGAACAGUUGGGGGCAUUCGUAUUUCAUUGUCAGAGGUGAAAUUCUUGGAUUUAUGAAAGACGAACUUCUGCGAAAGCAUUUGCCAAGGAUGUUUUCAUUA
This 374-nucleotide ribosomal RNA is filed under the name uncultured eukaryote. RNAcentral's name for it is "partial 18S ribosomal RNA". It matches the Rfam family "Eukaryotic small subunit ribosomal RNA", at positions 592 to 975 of the family's 1831-position model. The record is from RNAcentral.